RNAcentral lists this ribosomal RNA (206 nucleotides) under uncultured bacterium. RNAcentral describes it as "partial 16S ribosomal RNA". It matches the Rfam family "Bacterial small subunit ribosomal RNA", at positions 568 to 774 of the family's 1533-position model. The record is from RNAcentral.
CUCGUAGGUGCCAACUAAGUCAGACGUGAAAUCCCUCGGCUUAACCGGGGAACUGCGUCUGAUACUGGAUGGCUUGAGGUUGGGAGAGGGAUGCGGAAUUCCAGGUGUAGCGGUGAAAUGCGUAGAUAUCUGGAGGAACACCGGUGGCGAAGGCGGCAUCCUGGACCAAUUCUGACGCUGAGGAGCGAAAGCCAGGGGAGCAAACG